This 273-nucleotide ribosomal RNA is filed under the name uncultured Pseudomonadota bacterium. RNAcentral describes it as "uncultured proteobacterium partial 16S ribosomal RNA". It matches the Rfam family "Bacterial small subunit ribosomal RNA", at positions 160 to 449 of the family's 1533-position model. The record is from RNAcentral. Lineage: Bacteria; Pseudomonadati; Pseudomonadota.
CUGCUAAUACCGUAUACGCCCUCCGGGGGAAAGGUCUGCCGCUGAAAGAGGGGCCCGCGUCUGAUUAGCUUGUUGGUAGGGUAAAAGCCUACCAAGGCUACGAUCAGUAGCUGGUCUGAGAGGAUGAUCAGCCACACUGGGACUGAGACACGGCCCAGACUCCUACGGGAGGCAGCAGUCGGGAAUAUUGGACAAUGGAGGAAACUCUGAUCCAGCAAUGCCGCGUGUGUGAUGAAGGCCCUAGGGUUGUAAAGCACUUUCAACGGUGAAGAU